This 1221-nucleotide ribosomal RNA is filed under the name uncultured bacterium. Its description in RNAcentral is "bacterial SSU rRNA". It matches the Rfam family "Bacterial small subunit ribosomal RNA", at positions 198 to 1399 of the family's 1533-position model. The record is from RNAcentral.
AGACCAAAGAGGGGGACCUUCGGGCCUCUUGCCAUCGGAUGUGCCCAGAUGGGAUUAGCUAGUAGGUGGGGUAACGGCUCACCUAGGCGACGAUCCCUAGCUGGUCUGAGAGGAUGUCCAGCCACACUGGAAGUGAGACACGGUCCAGACUCCUACGGGAGGCAGCAGUGGGGAAUAUUGCACAAUGGGCGCAAGCGUGAUGCAGCCAUGCCGCGUGUCUGAAGAAGGCGUUCGGGUUGUAAAGUACUUUCAGCGGGGAGGAAGGGAGUAAAGUCUAAUACCUUUGAUCAUUGACGUUACCCGCAGAAGAAGCACCGGCUAACUCCGUGCCAGCAGCCGCGGUAAUACGGGGGGUGCAAAGCUUAUCUCGGAUAUUACUGGGUGGAAAAGCACAGCCAGGGGCUUUGCUAAGUCAGAUGGAAAAUCCCCGGCUUCACCCCGGGAACUGAAUGGAAUCUGUCACACUCGAGUGUUGGAGAGGGAAGGUAGAAUUCCUAGUGUAGCGGUGAAAUGCGUAGAUAUAUGGAGGAACACCAGUGGCGAAGGCGGCCCCUGGAGACAGCUGACGCUCGGCUGGAAAGCGUGGGGAGCCAACAAAAAUAAAAUCCCUUGUAAUUCCCCCCGUAAAAGAACAUUAAAAGGGGUCGGGGGCCACAGCCCCCCGGUGCCGCAGCAAACGCAGUAAGUAUUCCACCUGGGGAGUACGUUCGCAAGAAUGAAACUCAAAGGAAUUGACGGGGACCCGCACAAGCGGUGGAGCAUGUGGUUUAAUCCGAAGCAACGCGAAGAACCUUACCCGGCCUUGACAUCCCGAUGAAUGUACAGUAAUGUGUACAGGACUUCGGUACAUCGGAGACAGGUGGUGCAUGGUUGUCGUCAGCUCAUGUCGUGAGAUGUUGGGUUAAGUCCCGCAACGAGCGCAACCCCUGCCCUCAGUAGCCAGCAGGUAAAGCUGGGAACUCUGAGGGGACUGCCCGGGAUAACCGGGAGGAAGGCGGGGAUGACGUCCAAUCAUCAUGCCCCUUAUGGCCGGGGCUACACACGUGCUACAAUGGCGGAAACAGAGGGAAGCAGCCCCGUGAGGGUGAGCGAACCCCAAAAAUACCGCCUCAGUUCGGAUUGUAGUCUGCAACCCGACUACAUGAAGCCGGAAUCGCUAGUAAUCGCGAAUCAGAAUGUCGCGGUGAAUACGUUCCCGGGUCUUGCACUCACCGCCCGUCA